RNAcentral lists this ribosomal RNA (380 nucleotides) under uncultured eukaryote. RNAcentral describes it as "partial 18S ribosomal RNA". It matches the Rfam family "Eukaryotic small subunit ribosomal RNA", at positions 592 to 976 of the family's 1831-position model. The record is from RNAcentral.
CAAUAGCGUAUAUUAAAGUUGUUGCAGUUAAAAAGCUCGUAGUUGGAUUUGUGGCUGUCACGGGCGGCCUAUCACUUAGUGUUAGUGCUUGCCUGUGUCGCCAUCCUUGGGUGGAGCCCGUGUGGCAUUAGGUUGUCGUGCGGGGGAUGCCCAUCGUUUACUGUGAGAAAAUUAGAGUGUUCAAAGCAGGCUUAUGCCGUUGAAUAUGUUAGCAUGGAAUAAUAAGAUAGGACCUCGGUACUAUUUUGUUGGUUUGCGCACCGAGGUAAUGAUUAAUAGGGACAGUUGGGGGUAUUCGUGUUUCAUUGUCAGAGGUGAAAUUCUUGGAUUUCUGAAAGACGAACUACUGCGAAAGCAUUUACCAAGGAUGUUUUCAUUAA